AUUAUGGCUCAGAUUGAACGCUGGCGGCAGGCCUAACACAUGCAAGUCGAGCGGAUGACGGGAGCUUGCUCCUUGAUUCAGCGGCGGACGGGUGAGUAAUGCCUAGGAAUCUGCCUGGUAGUGGGGGACAACGUUUCGAAAGGAACGCUAAUACCGCAUACGUCCUACGGGAGAAAGCAGGGGACCUUCGGGCCUUGCGCUAUCAGAUGAGCCUAGGUCGGAUUAGCUAGUUGGUGGGGUAAUGGCUCACCAAGGCGACGAUCCGUAACUGGUCUGAGAGGAUGAUCAGUCACACUGGAACUGAGACACGGUCCAGACUCCUACGGGAGGCAGCAGUGGGGAAUAUUGGACAAUGGGCGAAAGCCUGAUCCAGCCAUGCCGCGUGUGUGAAGAAGGUCUUCGGAUUGUAAAGCACUUUAAGUUGGGAGGAAGGGCAGUAAGYUAAUACCUUGCUGUUUUGACGUUACCGACAGAAUAAGCACCGGCUAACUCUGUGCCAGCAGCCGCGGUAAUACAGAGGGUGCAAGCGUUAAUCGGAAUUACUGGGCGUAAAGCGCGCGUAGGUGGUUUGUUAAGUUGGAUGUGAAAGCCCCGGGCUCAACCUGGGAACUGCAUCCAAAACUGGCAAGCUAGAGUACGGUAGAGGGUGGUGGAAUUUCCUGUGUAGCGGUGAAAUGCGUAGAUAUAGGAAGGAACACCAGUGGCGAAGGCGACCACCUGGACUGAUACUGACACUGAGU
This 740-nucleotide ribosomal RNA is filed under the name Pseudomonas sp. 120516_NH_C2_A2. Its description in RNAcentral is "bacterial SSU rRNA". It matches the Rfam family "Bacterial small subunit ribosomal RNA", at positions 16 to 751 of the family's 1533-position model. Lineage: Bacteria; Pseudomonadati; Pseudomonadota; Gammaproteobacteria; Pseudomonadales; Pseudomonadaceae. The record is from RNAcentral.